GGAUGUGAAAUCCCCGGGCUCAACCUGGGAACUGCAUUCGAAACUGGCAGGCUUGAGUCUUGUAGAGGGGGGUAGAAUUCCAGGUGUAGCGGUGAAAUGCGUAGAGAUCUGGAGGAAUACCGGUGGCGAAGGCGGCCCCCUGGACAAAGACUGACGCUCAGGUGCGAAAGCGUGGGGAGCAAACAGGAUUAGAUACCCUGGUAGUCCACGCCGUAAACGAUGUCUACUUGGAGGUUGUGCCCUUGAGGCGUGGCUUCCGGAGCUAACGCGUUAAGUAGACCGCCUGGGGAGUACGGCCGCAAGGUUAAAACUCAAAUGAAUUGACGGGGGCCCGCACAAGCGGUGGAGCAUGUGGUUUAAUUCGAUGCAACGCGAAGAACCUUACCUGGUCUUGACAUCCACAGAACUUUCCAGAGA
RNAcentral lists this ribosomal RNA (417 nucleotides) under Salmonella enterica subsp. enterica serovar Rubislaw. RNAcentral's name for it is "bacterial SSU rRNA". It matches the Rfam family "Bacterial small subunit ribosomal RNA", at positions 590 to 1006 of the family's 1533-position model. The record is from RNAcentral. Lineage: Bacteria; Pseudomonadati; Pseudomonadota; Gammaproteobacteria; Enterobacterales; Enterobacteriaceae.